This 504-nucleotide ribosomal RNA is filed under the name uncultured bacterium. Its description in RNAcentral is "partial 16S ribosomal RNA". It matches the Rfam family "Bacterial small subunit ribosomal RNA", at positions 30 to 523 of the family's 1533-position model. The record is from RNAcentral.
AUUGAACGCUGGCGGCAGGCCUAACACAUGCAAGUCGAACGGUAGCACUGAGAGCUUGCUCUCGGGUGACGAGUGGCGGACGGGUGAGUAAUGUCUGGGAAACUGCCCGAUGGAGGGGGAUAACUACUGGAAACGGUAGCUAAUACCGCAUAACGUCGCAAGACCAAAGUGGGGGACCUUCGGGCCUCACACCAUCGGAUGUGCCCAGAUGGGAUUAGCUAGUAGGUGGGAUAAUGGCUCACCUAGGCGACGAUCCCUAGCUGGUCUGAGAGGAUGACCAGCCAACAUGGAACUGAGACACGGUCCAGACUCCUACGGAAGGCAGCAGUGGGGAAUAAUGCACAAUGGGCGCAAGCCUGAUGCAGCCAUGCCGCGUGUAUGAAGAAGGCCUUCGGGUUGUAAAGUACUUUCAGCGGGGAGGAAGGCGGUGAAGUUAAUAGCUUCACCGAUUGACGUUACCCGCAGAAGAAGCACCGGCUAACUCCGUGCCAGCCGCCGCAGUAA